This 1111-nucleotide long non-coding RNA is filed under the name Anas platyrhynchos platyrhynchos (common mallard). RNAcentral describes it as "lncRNA (ENSAPLG00000026469.1)". The record is from RNAcentral. Lineage: Eukaryota; Metazoa; Chordata; Aves; Anseriformes; Anatidae.
AUGGGCUUUUUGCUGUGCAGAGCCAAGCAAAAGGAGAAAAUGAUGGCUUGCAUUCACCUGCCUAGCGCUGCUCCAGCAAACCCGAGCCAGCACACGGGCAGGCAGCUCUGCGUUUUGGGGGGGUCCAGCACCAGGACAGACCCUGCCCUCCUCAGGCACAGCACGGCGCAUCCCAAAACGUUCCGAGCAAGCAGGGGAUGGGACCAGCACAUCCCCAGGGCUCACAGCAGCCACCAAACUCAUCACAACCUUAGUGCAAUGCAAAGGAAUGAGAGCCUCUCACCCCCCCCCCAGCAAUGACCAGCACCAUCCUGCCCUGCGGGGAAGCUUUGCUGGUGGUGCUGGGCACAGGGCAGGACCCCAGCAUGCUGCCUUUGCGCACACGGGCUGCUCUGUGCAAACAGAGCCUCUGCUUGUUAUUUUUCCUGCCCUGGCUGAAACGCAGCAUUUCAGGCUAAGAGCUCAGGUGUCUGAGCCUCUGAGAGCUGAGGUCUGUGAUGGAAAUGAUGAUACACCUCGAGUAUAAUGGUGCAAACAGCCAUUAUCAUAAUUUUGAUACCAAUUACAUGUAAUUUGAACAAAGGAGUUGUCCUAGCUUUGAUUUGCUCUCCUUGUAUUCCUGGCUGGUUUCAUUAAAAUCACUUACAGAGAUUUGCAGCAGUUCUGUUUGAAGUGCUGUCAUUAGGGUUUUCAUUUGCAGUGGCGUCGGAAAUAAUUUCCCAGCGGGCUGUUUAUGUUUUACCAAGGGCCGUGCAGCGUGUGGGCCAGCACUCGUGGCCAGACGGACGAGUCACAGAGCCAGUCCUGCCAGCCACAAGGCAGCGUGUUCCAGUAACACCGCGCUGAAUUUUGAACCCAAAUCUUUCUAAAUUAAAGCCCCACGGGCCAGGCUGUUCCCUGCUUCAUGCCUGCACCACCUCAGAUGGGGAACCCCAAAGCGUUAGCGCUUCUAGGGGCUGGGUGUCCCUGCUCCACAGCGUGUCCCCUAUAUGUGAACAGCUUUUUCACUUUUAAGUCUCUGCACUGAAUCACCAUUCAAAAUCAAUCACCAAGUUUUCUAACUUUUUUGGCCCUCAGUAACAGGAAAAUAAACCUCCCUUAACAAGACGGG